UGAACGAGGACCAGAAAUUUAAGUGUUGUUUACUAUGGUUCUUGCACACCAUGUUUCUUGCAAAAUAUUCGAUGAAGAUUGUCAACACGAAACUGAUUCGAAUGGUCAAUUCUUUGAGUUUCUUUGAGAAUAAUCUGUGAGGGAAAGAGACAUUUCAACUAACUCUGGACUAUCUAAAGAAAAAAAGUGAUCUGAAGAAGCAGAGGGAAGUAUUUGAUGAGAAACAGA
RNAcentral lists this long non-coding RNA (228 nucleotides) under Capsicum annuum. RNAcentral's name for it is "long non-coding RNA (CANN_LNC012997)". The record is from RNAcentral. Lineage: Eukaryota; Viridiplantae; Streptophyta; Magnoliopsida; Solanales; Solanaceae.